Molecule: non-coding RNA, 72 nt
Organism: Hamiltosporidium tvaerminnensis
Lineage: Eukaryota; Fungi; Microsporidia; Dubosqiidae
Source: the annotation of a GenBank genome assembly
UCCCCAAUGGUCCAGUGGCUAGGAUAUCGGACUUUCACUCCGGUGGCCCGGGUUCGAUUCCCGGUUGGGGAA